UUGUGCUAGGUGGGGAGUUAGCGGUGUCCUAUACUCGAAAUCCGCUUAUGCGAGACUGAAUUCCGUCCUUAGGGCCUUACCAGGGAUGCGAGCUGUAAUGAUCGGCCGCCGCGCAACAGAUGCUCUUGAACUUCGUCAGGUCCGGAAGGAAGCAGCGAUAAGGGAAGCCGUCUGUGUCGUGGUUGAUCCCGAUUGAUUGCAACAUGUGUCUUUUGGAGAGGUUCGAUGGAGGGUGCACAA
This 240-nucleotide signal recognition particle RNA is filed under the name Desulfobacterales bacterium. RNAcentral's name for it is "signal recognition particle sRNA large type". It matches the Rfam family "Bacterial large signal recognition particle RNA". Rfam says of the family: The signal recognition particle (SRP) is a universally conserved ribonucleoprotein involved in the co-translational targeting of proteins to membranes. Archaeal SRP consists of a 7S RNA and homologues of the eukaryotic SRP19 and SRP54 proteins. RNAcentral also lists the same sequence under 1 other name. Lineage: Bacteria; Pseudomonadati; Thermodesulfobacteriota; Desulfobacteria; Desulfobacterales. The record is from RNAcentral.